This 4540-nucleotide long non-coding RNA is filed under the name Toxoplasma gondii VEG. Lineage: Eukaryota; Apicomplexa; Conoidasida; Eucoccidiorida; Sarcocystidae. The record is from RNAcentral.
GGAGAGUCGGUAAGCUGGAGUCGAUGCCCACCUGUUAGUCACAUCGUUGUGUCAAGCACGACUCCCGGGGCUAAAACAGCAUGCCACAUGGGCCUCCUGAGACUGUGCUUCUUCCCGUUACACAGGAGGACAUGUCGAAGCGAGUGAAAGGGGUGAUAGUUACAUCUCACAUUUCGGCGACAUUAUAGAGCAGCAUUAGUCGCAGAUGCAGUCACUCCAGUCUGCAAGGCAAACCCUUCGUUGCAUGGACAUGUGUAUACCCCAGAGGAGGCAGUCUCAUGCGGGACAGAGAACAGUCAAAAUCAUUAAUUGGACGCUGCACCCUGGUUGCCAGAAUCGCGCAUACUCUUGAUAAGCAAUUCGCUCAGGAGGACCAACGUUUCUUCCUAAGCUUCAUCCUGUAGAACGGCAUACUAAACGCAUGAGUUCCGCUUCCUUGCGCUAACCCUGCUCUCGAAACUUCUGUGGCAAACACGCAACCUAAAAUUAGUUUUUUCAUGCGUGACACUCAAACAUUACUGUCGUAUCUCUGAACGUGUUUGUGUGUUGGAGCGACGCUUGUUGCCGGUGCUUCCUUUUUGUUACAAGAAACCGCACGUAAGCUGAAGUUGCCUGUGUCGACACCGCAAUAUUCUCGGCAUUUGUUCCUCUCACAAUCAAAUGAUGUUAUCCUUGUGCUUCUGUCACCCGAGUUCGCUUAGCCUGGCCGUAGACAUGCAGGAGAAUCCUUGGUCAUUCGUACCAGACUACGUGAUGGCGCUGGAACGGCUCUUACGAAAGGCGUAAUAAGAACCCUCUUUUCGAAGGCAGCACUAUUUGAGCGUGACUGCUUAAAAUCUAGAGUAGAGGGAGGGGGGGUCAUGGAAAAACGUUCCGCAUGCUCCUCUGUUAACCUGUAUGUUUCGACUCGUGCAGAAGGGCACGAGAUUCUUUCUGUAUAGCCGGAGCUGCUAAGGUUGUUUUUCGCCAGUAGCUCAUGAUGCAUAAAUGGUUUCGGUGUGAAGAAACGGCAGCACGCGGGAGCAGCAUGGGUGUGAAUAAAGACAUCCAUAAAGGUGCUGAUUGUAAAUGUCGUUUUUUUAUAUACUUAGAUUUCACUUGACACAGUCACAGAAGCGGGGUUACAGUACUCUUUCAUUUGAUCGCGUACGCACCAAAAUAAAUAUCUUUCAGGCUGGCAGCAGUAAGUGGUCGUCCCUACGACCGACCUACGCCCCAGAGUUCGACCAUAUGAAACCUGCCAAGUUAAGUUGGUCAUCGUCGCAUUCUGUGGCCCGUGGCGUGCACGAACGCUUUAUUGACCUUCUCCUGUGCAAACCAGGAGUCUCGGGCAGACACGGGGGUCGCUUUCUGAGAAGACACCCACGGUGAGUUCUGUUUUGCCGUUGCCACAGACUAAUCGGUAUACGGCAGAUAGCUCCUUGCUUGUGUACAUCGAAGUCUUUUUCCACGGUCCGGCCUUCUUUUUUCCUAGCCCUCACUGAGUGUCCCAGGGUAGCGCACGGAUGGGCUCGGGGGUGGCAUUGACUCACUUGUAUGGUUUCACUGUUGCCUCCUGAUUUUUGCCAAUUCCCUCGUUUCCGUACGGACCUGGCCGCGAAACCACCACUGUGGUGAGCCGUUGAGCGGGGACCCCAUACGCCAACGCCAGUUGGGAGAGUGCACUGGCAGUUGCUUGAAACCGCUACUGUCCCUCCCACCGGCGUUAGCUGGUACAAGCGAGCUGCUUGUUUUCUGUGUUCCUCGUCGCACAGGAGACCACUGCCGUUUUCGCAGCCGUACGUCGGUUGGGGAGAUUUGUUCUGUGAUCGAGUUGAGCCUCAUGCGAGCGACUCCGCUACAACUUCACGCGCAGUAACUCGUAGUCAGUGGACCGCGUGAACGUGGAGAUCAGGGUACUCAGUGCGAUAUUACAGUACAGAAUUCAACCCUGCGGCUGAUUCAGGUUUUCGCUGAAACAGAGAGACUCUAUUUCGUCACUAUAGGCGGACACCAUAUGCGGUUCGAGCUGGACUUCCUUUGGUGUCAGGGAACCUACGGGACUACGUGAAGCAAUUAUUUGUGUAUUUACCCGCUUGCGUUGAAACAAAUGCUUGCACCUGUCAUGAAAGACUUCGUUUAACUGGCGACAUUGUCCCUCACAGGAUCCCGUCUGUCAUUUGAAUCAUUCUAUGCAGAAGAUUCUGCAAGUACGUGUCUUACGACUGUUCUGAAUGCAACGCAGUGUAACCAGACCAUGAGGAAGAAGGUUGCAGGUUCGUAGUUUCCUGGGUACGAAAUUCCAGUGGACUUGCGUUGGCGUGCGUCCAUGUCUCGCCCGGAUAAUGCGCCACUCUAACGCUGAAGAGAGACAGCAAUUUGGUACUGCAACGCACAGUGCGCGACUUUGACGCGAUUUUCGCUUUUCAGUGAAUAGUUACGUAUAAUAGCUUUGGAUCGACAGCUGAGGAUGCUGCGACGUGGUGUAGUGAGUCACGCUUUGCUCUCUGCAGCUUCGGAGAUAAAUAAAAGAGAAUAGUCUCUUGUUGUGCUGGUGACGCACCUCUAUGAGAACGGUGAAAUGCUUGCACGAGAGACGCGUUUAGCUCGCCGUUAUGAUCUUGCGAGUGUGCAACGGAUAGUAUGUGGCAACGCUUGGCCAAGAACGUGCUUUCCGGUUGCCUGUUUUCUUGCUGUCCAGCCGAUACUGUCAAGGAAAUCGGACGGUUGUGGCUUUCCUGCUGCUCUCUCUGAACGGGACGCGAUUCGCACAGCAAGUCCGCUUGGGCUGUUUUACAAUAGGAUCUGUUCCUUAUCUUGCGUACAUCAUAGCUCCACGGAUGAAUGGGAGUUCUGGUGGAGACGUUGAAAGCAUGUGUCGGGGACAAAGAACAUAAGCAAAGGAGUUACUCCAGGUGUGCUUGUGCUGUUCGCGUGCCUGGCACUGAACUCACGAGUGCAUCCAGGCUGGUGCAAGAGAACUAUUCAACUCCUUGGACUGUCGCGCAUUACUUGCAACCUUCAGUUCGCGAUUGGGUGAUUCCUGUGAACCUGUUGUAGUUCUUAUGUAGGCGACGAUGUUACAUCCCGUGUUGUUGAAAUAACACUUGCGUGCAUCCAACCAUACACGAGCUACAGAAGGGUCACUGACAUUUGACGCGGUUUCGAUGUGAAAUUCUCAGAACCAAAAUAAGAAGUCGUCAGUGAGUGGAUGGUCAUUUUAUGCGAGGCUUCAUGUUUAAUUUUAACCUUUUGCUUAAAAACCAAAACUUAUCGGUUUCCUCUUCAACAGGCAAAUUGUUAGGUUCAUAUACCCUUCUAUUGUUAGGAUUAAAAUUUCAGUCUCUUUUCACUCUCCUUCCGGGGUCUCUGCUCUGGGUCCGCUAAUAGAGCUUGCCGUCAGUUUUGUCUAUCCGUUAGGUACGAAAGCGUUCCAGUAGUCUCCGGACACGCAUCUUUGCUGAAUGUUGACAGCGGCAUCCUUGCUCUGUGUGUGUCUCCUGUCGCUUCAGUUUUGGACACAGAACGUACGUCGAAUUUUUAUUUGUCACCUCGCUGACCUUGCAAGGGCCGUUCCCCUCAGCGCUCCAGUGUCCAACAGUCUGCGUAGCUCAGUUUGCUGCGUCGAUGUGCCCAAGUGAAAAGCUGCUCCUGGUAUGCAUCAAUACGACAGACGCUGACGGGAGCCCUUCGCUUGAUGGAGCAGACGCGCCCUAUUGAAAUCCAGGUGUGCGAAUUCAGCAUAAAUAGUGUUUCACAGCCUGCCGGCUUGGUCUCAGUGUGGCGUUGCAUCACCGACCGCGAUAAAUGCUGAACAGUAAAGCCCGAGUGAUGCAGAAGGUCACAGCUUAUCAUCUGUCCGAAUGCUGCAUAUUGAACAGCUUAUUAGCAGUCUGCCCGCGCGCCUACCUGUAUCAAACGGUGAACGGACUGGCAACGUCACUUGCACGUUCUGAACUGUUGGCCCGGUCCGGUAGCCGUACAGUCGUUUCAUUGCUUCGCUGUAUCUGGUGCCGCCGCUCUUUUCAAGCGUGGCAGUGCAUGCCAGAAGAAACAGACAUUUCACGUUGGGGCUGUGGCUGCCUGAGCAGCCCUUUUGUCGUAUCAUUCAUUUCUCUGCAGCUCUCCUCCAUGUGGGAGGCGUGUUGUCUCAUCAAUUCCUUCUUUUGGUUUUAUCUGCACGCAAACCGUAAGUUCCUGUUUGCGAUAGCAGCCGCCACAGCUCUUGUCGUGAGUUCUGGCACAAGAGAGUGGAGCUACACAGUCGGUUCCGUCAGACUAUUUAGGGCCUCAUGCUCCUCUUCCUCCUGGCAGCGGAGUUAUCUGCCAGGUGUGGUCGAUCUGCGUCGGUCACCCAUAUCUGUUUAUGUACUCACCUGCUUUACACACGCUCAUGCAGGUUACAAGAACUAUCUUGCUCAAUUUAGGCAGUGGAUUGUUGUCAUAGUCAAAUUUACAGUUGGGGAGAGCCGUCUGUCACUAACAGUGAUAAUCAAAGUCGGUGGGCAUGUGGUUCUCCUUCGUGUGUGUCUGCUGUGUCCUACAGAGAGUUGCCGCUGCU